AUAAAUAAGCGGUGGAAAAGAAACCAACAGGGAUUCCCUCAGUAGCGGCGAGCGAACAGGGAUGAGCCCAGCGCCGAAUUCCGCGUCCCAAAGGACGUCUGGAACAUGUGGCGUUUAGGAGGAAUCUCUCCGGAGGCAGACGGUGUCGCAAGUCCCCCUGAACGGGGCUGUGAUCCAGAGCGGGUGCGAGGCCCAUAGCUGGUACUGUCUCCUUCGGGUGUCACCUCCUUGGAGUCGGGUUGCUUGGGAGUGCAGCCCUAAUUGGGUGGUAAACUCCACCUAAGGCUAAAUACGUCCGUGAGACCGAUAGCAAACAAGUACCGUGAGGGAAAGUUGCAAAGAACUUUGAAGAGAGAGUUCAAGAGUACGUGAAACCGCUCAGAGGCAAACGGGUGGGCCCACGAAAGCCGAAGGCAGGGGGAUUCAGUCGAGAGGACGUUGGGGCAAAGCUGGCUGGUUUGACGGACCGUGCCAGGCCGGGUCAGCUCCCGAGACCCUUCGCCUCUCGACGCAUUUCCCUCUGCUUAGUAGGACGCCGCAACCCGUUGGUGCACGCAGCCAUAAGGGAGAGCGAUGGAAGGUAGCCAGUGAGCACUUCUUCGGAGGUGCGAGCUGGUCCUAAGCCGGCUCUCCUGGUGCUUGUGGCCCGACGGUGGUCUCUUGUCCCUGAACGGGAUGUCGCCGAGCCCUUCUAGACCGAGCAGGUAGAAAUGGCAGGCUGCUUUCCGUGACCAAAAACCGGUUGCUCCACGCGUGCAGUGGACAACCUUCGGAGGCGGCUGUUGGUGCAUUUUCUCCUGCGCUGGGCACAGGCAGUUGGCGGCGAGUAGGUCGGUCACCCACCCGACCCCCAAGGAGUCUAACAUGUGCGCAAGUCAUUGGGUCUUGGACAAGCCCAAAGGCGCAAUGAAAGUGAAGACCAGCACUGAAGCUGGUGGAGUUGGGAAACCGAGUCACUGACGGCUCGGUUGCACCAACGGCCCGUCCCGUCCGCAUUGUCGGUGGGGCGGAGCGAGAGCGUACACGUUGGGACCCGAAAGAUGGUGAACUAUGCCUGGGCAGGACGAAGCCAGAGGAAACUCUGGUGGAGGUCCGCAGCGGUUCUGACGUGCAAAUCGAUCGUCAGACCCGGGUAUAGGGGCGAAAGACUAAUCGAACCAUCUAGUGAGAAGUCCGGCUUGCNUGACCGAAGCCCGGACGAAAGGAUGAGAGUGCCCAGUGGGCCACUUUUGGUAAGCAGAACUGGCGCUGUGGGAUGAACCAAACGCUGGGUUACGGCGCCCGAUGCGAGACGCUCAUGAGACCCCAUGAAAGGUGUUGGUUGCUAUUGACAGCAGGACGGUGGCCAUGGAAGUCGGAAUCCGCUAAGGAGUGUGUAACAACUCACCUGCCGAAGCAACUAGCCCUGAAAAUGGAUGGCGCUCCAGCGUCGAGCCCAUACCCAGCCGCCGCGGCAGAUGCUGAGAAGCUUAUGCCGCGGUGAGUAGGAGGGUCGCAGUGGCGUGCGUUGAAGGUGCCGGGCGCAAGCCCGCCUGGAGCCGCCACUGGUGCAGAUCUUGGUGGUAGUAGCAAAUACUCAAGUGAGAACCUUGAGGACUGAGGUGGAGAAGGGUUCCAUGUGAACAGCAGUUGAACAUGGGUCAGUCGGUCCUAAGGAAUAGGAGAAAUCCGUUCCGAAGCGGGACGCAUAUUUGACGGAACUGUCCCGCCCGCUGACCGAAAGGGAAUCGGGUUAAUAUUCCCGAACCCGGACAAGGAGAUCGGCCCCUCGGGGUCAAGUGCGGUAACGCAACUGAACUCGGAGAAGUCGACGGGAGUCCCGGAGAGAGUUUUCUUUUCUUUGUAAGGGUUUGGCUCCCUGGAAUCGGUUCGUCCGGAGAUAGGGAUGCUAUUCCCGUAAAGCAUCGCGCCUCCUGCGGUGUCCGGAGCGCUCCUGUCGGCCCUUGAAAAUCCGAGGGAGAGAGUGUGAUUUUCUUGCCGGACCGUACCCAUAUCCGCAGCAGGUCUCCA
RNAcentral lists this ribosomal RNA (2010 nucleotides) under Schizomida sp. MCZ IZ-132975 101062. RNAcentral's name for it is "eukaryotic LSU rRNA". It matches the Rfam family "Eukaryotic large subunit ribosomal RNA", at positions 42 to 1869 of the family's 3401-position model. Lineage: Eukaryota; Metazoa; Arthropoda; Arachnida; Schizomida. The record is from RNAcentral.